UACGGGGGGGGCAAGCGUUGUUCGGAAUUACUGGGCGUAAAGGGCUCGUAGGUGGCCAACUAAGUCAGACGUGAAAUCCCUCGGCUUAACCGGGGAACUGCGUCUGAUACUGGAUGGCUUGAGUUUGGGAGAGGGAUGCGGAAUUCCAGGUGUAGCGGUGAAAUGCGUAGAUAUCUGGAGGAACACCGGUGGCGAAGGCAGUUCUCUGGGCCGUAACUGACGCUGAGGAGCGAAAGCGUGGGGAGCGAACAGG
This 253-nucleotide ribosomal RNA is filed under the name uncultured bacterium. RNAcentral describes it as "partial 16S ribosomal RNA". It matches the Rfam family "Bacterial small subunit ribosomal RNA", at positions 524 to 776 of the family's 1533-position model. The record is from RNAcentral.